UCACGCGGCAUCUUGUAAUCAGCGUCCAGUUCGACGCUAAAACCGUAGGCAUAUAUAGAUCUUCAGUUUCCAGCGCUAAUUAAUUUGAUAGUGGUACCACGGAGUCGUAAAGUUCUGAGUCCUUUUCAUUUGACAAGUGAUCGCACUAAAACCAGGAGCAAUGCCGGGUGCCAAAAAGGGAAUUCUAGAGAGAUUAGAUGCUGGGCCAGUGAUUGGUGAUGGGGGCUUUGUCUUUGCUCUCGAGAAGCGUGGUUAUGUCAAGGCAGGACCCUGGACCCCUGAAGCGGCCAUCGAACACCCCGAAGCAGUGAGACAGUUGCACAGAGAGUUUCUGCGGGCUGGGUCUGAUGUUAUGCAAGCAUUCACGUUCUACGCCAGCGAUGAUAAGUUACAGAACAGAGGUUGUGCUGCUAAUGCCACACAUAGUGGUGCAGCAAUCAACCAGGCAGCCUGCAAUCUCUCGCGAGAGGUCGCAAAUGAGGGUGACGCUCUUGUUGCUGGCGGCGUGUCUCAGACUCCAUCCUAUCUGAGUGGGAAAAACAAGGAAGAGUGCCAGAAGGAGUUCCGUAAACAGAUGGACGUGUUCGUGAAAAAUGAAGUUGACUUCAUCAUUUGCGAGUACUUUGAGCAUGUUGAGGAGGCAGAAUGGGCUAUAGCUGUUGCUAAGGAGACCCAGCUUCCAGUCGCUGCAAAUCUCUGCAUUGGUCCGGAUGGAGAUGUGCAUGGAAUAAGCUGUGAGGAAUGCGCCGUUCGCAUGGCUAAUGCUGGUGCUGAUAUUGUGGGUGUGAACUGUCAUUUUGAUCCAUUUGUAUCGCUCAAAACCAUCAAACUGAUGAAGCAGGGAUUGGAAGCAGCCAAAAUCAAGUGUCAUCUGAUGGUUCAACCCCUAGCUUUUCACACUCCAGACUGUGGAAGACAAGGUUUCAUCGACCUUGUAGAGUUCCCCUUUGCUCUGGAGCCACGAAUCCUGACACGCUGGGACAUGCAUCGGUUUGCUCGAGAGGCCUACGAUCUUGGUGUCCGAUACAUCGGCGGUUGCUGUGGCUUCGAACCCUAUCACAUCCGAGCCCUCGCUGAGGAGCUGGCCACUGAGCGUGGGAAAAUGCCAGCAGCAUCGGAGAAACAUGACAUAUGUGCCGGGGGGCUGAAGAUGCAUACAAAACCAUGGGUCCGGGCCAGAGCGAGCAAGGACUACUGGCAGAAUCUUGAACCAGCUUCCGGGCGGCCAUACGCUUCUGCCAUGUCCAAACCCAGUAACUGGGGGGUAUCCCGCGGUCAUGAGCAUCUUGUGCAGAAGCAGAGUGCCACAACUGAGGAAGAGAUUGAUGAAGUAAAGAAGUUUAAACAGUAAUGAGUUAAUUUAAAGGAGGAAAGCGAUUGACGGGCAAGAGAUUAUAUUGCACAGUUAAUCGCUAACUUAUGAAAUAAAGAUGAUGUAGCAGGUUGUAUUCCAUCAUAGAGAAGACCGAGAUACGGAAGCUAUUGUUUCAUAGUAAUUCAUUGUAAUUCAUUGUUAUUUCAUCGUAUUCAUUGUAAGCAAUAGAUUGUUGACGCAUGUAGUUUUCAUUGGUAAUAUUUCCAAGGAAAAUAAAAAUAAAAAACGUUUUUAGGAAUCACUGUUUGAUGAUCUAUUAAAGAUGUGUAAAUUUGUAUGUAUUCAUGUGCAAAUAUUCAGCAAAAAACAAUAAAGGAAUGUUGAUGCAUA
This 1705-nucleotide unclassified non-coding RNA is filed under the name Priapulus caudatus. RNAcentral describes it as "betaine--homocysteine S-methyltransferase 1-like, transcript variant X1". Lineage: Eukaryota; Metazoa; Priapulida; Priapulimorpha; Priapulimorphida; Priapulidae. The record is from RNAcentral.